RNAcentral lists this long non-coding RNA (524 nucleotides) under Nicotiana tabacum (common tobacco). RNAcentral describes it as "long non-coding RNA (NTAB_LNC015057)". The record is from RNAcentral. Lineage: Eukaryota; Viridiplantae; Streptophyta; Magnoliopsida; Solanales; Solanaceae.
AUCUUAGAUUACAGUUCCUGUACAUAUAUAAUCCAAGCUGAAUACAGAGCGCGCUAAGUGAACGCAGCAUGAGAAUUACAUCUAUAUAUAUUGUAAUAACCCAAAAUAACUUAGACACCAAGUUGACUAUAACGUGAAGUUGAGAUCAAAGCUCUGAUCACGAAUCAUGGAAGUUGAUUCCUUAUUCUUUGAAGAUGAUGGCAAUGGAUUCUGCACUUGGUAUGGCGCUCUAGCCGUGUCUCUGGACGCCACCAAAAAACAGAAAUAAGUGAGAUCAGUGGCGGAACCAGAAAUUUAUACAAGGGAAUUCAAAAAAAAAAUUAGGAUGGUAUUUAAACCUAUGACCUAAAGUAACUUGUGAAUCCCCUUCACUAUAAUAAUUGAAUUUUUUUUCAUGUCAAAGGAAUUCAACAGUUCACGUAUAACAACAAUAAAAAAUUACUUUUACCUUUUUUUUCACAGUGUAAUUUUUCGGCGAAGGGGGUUUGCUCGAACCCCCUUCAAUGAACUUAGUUCCGCCACUG